AUGCCACCGCGACGCUACAAGAGCAUGUGUGAAUAUUUAUGUCGCUGCAUUCGCCCAGCCAAACCCUACCCCCCCAUUCGCUCCCUCUCCUCGCUCCCUGCUCUCGUUCUGAUUGAGCCCGACGCGGUCGUCACCAUGGCCUCCGCUGUCCCUGCGGCCAACACCACUGAUGGACCUCCCCGCCGUAUCCAGACACUCCGUGAAGCUCUCCCUCGUCUCCACGCCGAAGCAUCGAUCAAGGGAGCACCGCAUCACCGUCCCUACUGCUGCUUCAAGUUUGGCCCAGGCGGCGUUCGCCUUCGAUUCGGCGCCCACGUCACCUAA
RNAcentral lists this ribosomal RNA (324 nucleotides) under Triticum aestivum (bread wheat). RNAcentral's name for it is "partial small subunit ribosomal RNA". The record is from RNAcentral. Lineage: Eukaryota; Viridiplantae; Streptophyta; Magnoliopsida; Poales; Poaceae.